This is a non-coding RNA of Rattus norvegicus (Norway rat), 2644 nucleotides long. The record is from RefSeq and is a predicted model, not a curated record. NCBI's taxonomy places the organism in Eukaryota, Metazoa, Chordata, Mammalia, Rodentia, Muridae.
GCCACCCCUGCUCCAAUAACUAGCAACCGAGAAGGGACAGCCUGUGAUUUCCACUCAUUUCUCUUGGUAGGGACCCACUGUUUUACUGUAAGGCUGGGUUAAGACUCUGAGACUGGGCCUCCCCAGAGCUGAACUUCGAACCUCUAGAGGGCACUCUUUUUGGUGAAAAAGGACCCUGACAGACGUUUGAGCCGUUGGUAGCCUGUGCUGUGGCCCCGGGCUGGCCCAUGGAGGAGGGAGCUUGUCCUUAGCUGCACCCAUCUAGAAUGGAGCUUGUAUCAUGCGGGCAGAGAGGAGGGAUGGGCCAAGGCAAGUACCCCAAACCCACACUCCCUUCCUGGAAGGAUUUGGUAGAUUUUCCUGAACACUGUUUCCCCCUUGGCUGAGAGUCCUCAGAACAACUUCCGGGACUUUUUUUUUUUUUUCUUCGGAGCUGGGGACGGAACCCAGGACCUUGCGCUUCCUAGGAUCUCACUAUGUACUCUUAGCUGGCCUGGAGCUUGAUAAAACGGACUGGCCUCAGACUCAUAGAGACCAACCUGCUUCUGCCUCCUACACGCUGGGAUGAGAGGGUAUAGAACCAAAUGGUAUAUUCUAAGAACAACCCCUUAUGUCUCCCUCUCCCACCCAUCCUUCCUAAUACACAAAGAUGGCGUUAACAUUGAAUUUUCUUGUUUGGGCAUGUUCUCUCAAACAGGGUCUCACAUGGCUGACUCGGAACUUACUAUGCAUGGUGGUCUUUUAGUUUCAGCCACCCAGGGAUUAAAGGUGAGCUCUACCAUUCUGACUUUACCUAUCUUUCCCAUUUGUUGUCUCGAAGCGCAUGUCUUAUUUCCCUACUUGGGGUUGUGUGUCCUUUGGACACACCCAAUCCUGUUCUGUCUAGAUGUUCUGUUGGUCACCUAGACUAGAUAUGUAGGUCAUCUCCAAUAUUUUUCAAUUUUACAUUGUUUUACAACAGAUAUGUGUGUUUGUGUGCACAGGUGUGUGUAUGUGUGUGCUUAUGUGUGUGCACAUGUCUAUGUGUGUGCAUGUGUGUGUGUGUAUGUGUGUGCUUAUGUGUGUGCACAUGUCUAUGUGUGUGCAUGUGUGUGCAUGUGUGUGUGUGUGUGUGUGUGUGUGUGUGUGUGAGGGCACGCACAUGCACAUGCAGGUGUACGUGGGACACUUUCCAAGAAGCAUGAAUACAGAACUGAUUUUUCUGUGUGCUGCCAAGUCUCCCCCUUGAGAUCCUAUGUUCUAUGCCUCCCACUAGGGUUGCUUUGAUGCAAGUUUCCCUGUUACCUCCACAGCACUCUGUAUGUUUGCAACUGUGUCAACCUGACAGAUAAGGAAUGGUCCUCCUUGUGACUAUCAUUUUUUUUUAUUUCCCUUAUAAUGAAAGGCUGAGCAUCUUUUUAUAUGGUUAGAGGUCUAAUUGACUAUUAUUUUGCUUAUAAAUCCCUUCUAAAACAGCUUCAUGGGAGCAUAAUUAAUAUUUUUACAAUAUAUACAAAGUGGCAAUUACAUGUUUAUAGAUACCUGUAUAUACAAGUGAAACUGUUCCAGUCAGAUAAUGAAAGUGUUUAUCGCUACUCCCGGUUUCCCUGGGCCCCUCCCCCACCCUCUUCGUCCACAUGUUUGCUGCUUUAUGUGUGUACCUUCCUAGGGCUUUAUUGGCACGGAACUGUGACAAGUUUUUGAUUUUGGUCUGAGAUGCGCAGCAGCUCAGUCUUUCCAUGUGUGAGCAGUGUACUUUUAUGGAAUGUUCUGAAAUGCAUUUCUCCCUUCACCUGUUUAUGAAUCUGGGGUGGUUUCUCCAACCGUUGCUAUGAAUGUUCUUGUCAAAUCUUCAUGUAAACAGAGGGUAAUUUGUAUACCUUGGAGUGGAAUGGCAGACCAUAUAUGUUUUGAAGUGGGUUUCAUGUAGCCCAGGCUAGCCUCAAAUUCUUUAUGUAGCCAAGGAUGACCUUGAAUUCCUGAUCCCUCUCCCCUUCUACCCAAAUGAGUGCUAGGGUUACAGAUAUGUGCCACCAUACCCGGAUUCAUGUUUCUUCUUUUUUUUGGUGUGUGUGUGUGUGUGCGUGUGUGUGUAUGUGUGUGUGUGUGUGUGUGUGUGUAUGUGUGUAAGGGUUUAUUUGGUUUAUUCUUCCCAAUCACAGUCCAUUACGAAAGGAAGUCAGGUAGGUUUCAAACAGAGAUUUGGAGUCAGGAAUCGAAACAGAGGCCAUCGAGGAACACUACUUGCUGCCAGCAUGCAGCCCUGAGCCAUGGCCAUACAUCAUCUGUCUACGUCUUCUUUGGUGACUGCUAUGGGCUCUGCAUUACAAACAUAGAUACCCACUCCCCGAGGCCAUCUCACCCAUCCAGUGAAACAUUUGAACCAUUACCCUUUGCACUUCUGCUCUAUAUAGUCUGCCUAAACUGUCUCUUUAAAAAAGAAAAAAAUAAAAAAAGAUUUAUGGAGCUGGAGACAUGGCUCAGCGGUUAAGAGCACUGACUGCUCCUCCAGAGGUCCUGAGUUCAAUUCCCAGCAACCACAUGGCGGCUCACAACCAUCUGUAAUGAGAUCUGAUGCUCUCUUUUGGUGUGUCUGAAGACAGCCACAGUGUACUUGUAUAAUAAAAUAAAAAUAAAUAAAUAAAUAAAUAAAUAAAUAAAUAAA